CACGAAGGGGGCUAGCGUUGCUCGGAAUCACUGGGCGUAAAGCGCACGUAGGCGGAUUCUUAAGUCGGUGGUGAAAUCCUGGAGCUCAACUCCAGAACUGCCUUCGAUACUGAGAGUCUUGAGUUCGGGAGAGGUGAGUGGAACUGCGAGUGUAGAGGUGAAAUUCGUAGAUAUUCGCAAGAACACCAGUGGCGAAGGCGGCUCACUGGCCCGAUACUGACGCUGAGGUGCGAAAGCGUGGGGAGCAAACAGG
RNAcentral lists this ribosomal RNA (253 nucleotides) under uncultured bacterium. Its description in RNAcentral is "partial 16S ribosomal RNA". It matches the Rfam family "Bacterial small subunit ribosomal RNA", at positions 524 to 776 of the family's 1533-position model. The record is from RNAcentral.